Molecule: ribosomal RNA, 412 nt
Filed under: Clostridioides difficile
Lineage: Bacteria; Bacillati; Bacillota; Clostridia; Peptostreptococcales; Peptostreptococcaceae
Description: bacterial SSU rRNA
Rfam family: Bacterial small subunit ribosomal RNA
Source: RNAcentral
UUAUUUGAGAGUUUGAUCCUGGCUCAGGAUGAACGCUGGCGGCGUGCCUAACACAUGCAAGUUGAGCGAUUUACUUCGGUAAAGAGCGGCGGACGGGUGAGUAACGCGUGGGUAACCUACCCUGUACACACGGAUAACAUACCGAAAGGUAUGCUAAUACGGGAUAAUAUAUUUGAGAGGCAUCUCUUAAAUAUCAAAGGUGAGCCAGUACAGGAUGGACCCGCGUCUGAUUAGCUAGUUGGUAAGGUAACGGCUUACCAAGGCGACGAUCAGUAGCCGACCUGGGAGGGUGAUCGGCCACAUUGGAACUGAGACACGGUCCAAACUCCUACGGGAGGCAGCAGUGGGGAAUAUUGCACAAUGGGCGAAAGCCUGAUGCAGCAACGCCGCGUGAGUGAUGAAGGCCUUCGGG